AUUGUUCCCUUUGUAUGUUGACUAUGUUUUCUCUCUUCACUGAUGCGUCUAAUGCUGUUUGAUCAGACUUUUCUUUCUAGAUUCAUGAGAGGGUCAGUAAAAUAUAUAUGUACCUUCAGCAUUUUUAUGUGUAUUACCAUUUCUUUCCUGUUGCAUGCGCCUGCCAAUUGAUUAUCUAUGGAGUUGGUUUCCUAUGUGCUAGGGUUCAAUGAGUCUUCUGUUUGUUUAUGUUGUCUUGCAAUUUUUGUGUCUAAUCUUUAUGCACUUCCUGUGUAUACAACAUUCUGAAGAUCUAGCCUUUAUCACCAGGAACAAAGUUGUUAACGUGUCAUUGUUUUUGCUAAUUGAUCAAAUUCAGAACAGGCAAUGCCUCCAAGGGAGUUUGCGCACCAAAGAAAGCGAGGCAGUAGUUCUUCCAUGGAGCACUUCUUCCAUGCCGUUAUCUAGAUAUGUACAUACAGUACGACUAAGGUUUCUUUGGUUCUACUUAUUCUGCAACUGUGAUUAAUGGUAUGGUGCAGUAUGCUAAUAACUGUAAUAUCUCUUCUUUCUCAAGGUAUCUUCUAUAUUCUGCUUGCUUAUCAAGCGAAGUCGACGCUGGAAGGGUAUCAUGCUGACCAUUUAAUUGAAUUUCUCUUACAGAAACCAAUAUUAAUUUAUUCAGAGAACAUCCUUAUUUUUAUUUGUGAGAUAAUUAAAAAAGAUGUUUAUCUUUCCGAGCGACAUUGGACAUCCUAUAAUUUUGAGCACCGCCUCGAAGCAACCAGAAAUAGUUUCUGGUAGACUUUGGUCAAUGUAUCCUGGCCUGCAUGCUUUGGUGGUUACGAAAACAGCCACCUUUUGUUUCGCAUCAAUGAGACCAAUAUCUUUCUCCUUUCGGAGAACUCCGAGCAAGCUAUAUAUAAACUUUAGUCUUCCCCUGCUGCUUCUAUGGUGAAAAGUACUGUACUGUGUAAUGUAGUCUAUCAUCUUUAGAUUAUAUUGUUCUCUUUGUAGUGAAAAGCGGUUUAUCACCGCUUAUUGUAUAUAUAUGUGAAGAACUCUUCUGCUACUGUUUCCUGAAAACUAUGACUCAAGAAACAAGCUUCCUUUUAUGCAUGCUUUUGCUUCAAUGCUUUCAUCAGAGCUUCCCCCUGAUCACGUCUUCCGAUCACAGUGUAUGUAAUAAAUUAAAAGCAAUUACAUUCCUGUUU
RNAcentral lists this long non-coding RNA (1193 nucleotides) under Triticum aestivum (bread wheat). RNAcentral describes it as "long non-coding RNA (TAES_LNC017819)". The record is from RNAcentral. Lineage: Eukaryota; Viridiplantae; Streptophyta; Magnoliopsida; Poales; Poaceae.